CUUUCAUAUGCAUUGAAGGAAAGAAAAAUGAUCAAUCUUGUGAAAAUCCUAACAGUGAAAAAAAGAUUGGCAGUGUUUCUGUUCAUGUAGAGUAGAAUCAACGAUUCAUUCAUACAAGCAUAAGGGAUCCUUAUGCUUCAAAGUUACAUUUAGUGAUCAUUUUGGAUGUCUUCUUGCCAACCCUCUAUCUCAGCCACUUGUGCUUCAUGUCCAUAUUGCUGUUUAUAAAUAGUUUUACAAGCAGACACCAUGAUGUUUUUGAUGUGGUCCUCAUGAUAGGGAUUAAGAUGGAGAAGUGGAGCUAGAUGAUGUUUGGUUUGCAUAUCCUUCUCCACCAAAUCAUAUGGUGCUGAAUGUAAUAAUCUUGAUAGGUUUACAUAUACUAAAAUUGCAUUGAGUUGUCCAUAUUGGAAAAUUAUAUUAUUACUAUAUCUGAAAAAGAGAAAAAUGAGAGGAAGCAGGGGGACAGGAGAAUAGAAACACUAUAUGUCCAGAAAUAAAUAUGGAUAAAGUAUUCUGAUGCAUCCAAGAAUCCUCUUACUAGUUGAAGCAACAAGUGCAUUGGAUGUUGAAAGUGAAUAUCUUGUUCAGGAUGCCAUGGAUUCUCUCAUGAAGGGACGGACUGUUCUUGCAAUAGCUCAUAGGCUUUCGACUGUUAAAAGUGCAAACACUGUGGUAGUUGUAUCUGAUAGUAAGGUAGUCUAAAAUGGCACACAAAGAACUCCUUAUGAAGGAUGGCAUCUACGCUGCACUGGUGAGGAUGCAGGUACAAGGACCCCAAAAAGGACUUUGAGUCCAUUCAACCAAAACACUUAGAAGGCAGAAGCAAUCAAUGAGGUUCUAUACGGGAUCAAUGUCAUGAUAAUAAAACACAUUUUUGGGCAUUGGUUUCACAAAUUACUAAUUGUAAGACCUGUGGACAAGAAUUAAAUGAUUCUGUAUUAGAGAAGAGGCUAUAGUGUAAUUUGUGUGGAAGAAUGGAGAAAAUGAGGUUAUUCUUCCUUCGUGUUUAACUCUUAUGUUCUACGUAUGAUCAGCAUGGCUUUGGUGAUUCAUUAUUUUCUAAGGUCAAAAGACACUAGCAUGGAGCCAGCUUAGAUGUAAGAAAGAAUUGAAAUGUACAUUGAGAGAUAUAAAAGCUUGAUGAGAAUCUAUUGCCUAAUAUGUUUGUAUGUCAAAAGCUUGGGGAAAGUGAUGUUUUAGAAGUGAGAAAAUUCUUCUUUUUCUUUUUCUUUGCUGAA
Molecule: long non-coding RNA, 1241 nt
Organism: Macadamia integrifolia
Lineage: Eukaryota; Viridiplantae; Streptophyta; Magnoliopsida; Proteales; Proteaceae
Exons: 2
Source: RefSeq, a predicted model, not a curated record